Molecule: non-coding RNA, 945 nt
Organism: Pelodiscus sinensis (Chinese soft-shelled turtle)
Lineage: Eukaryota; Metazoa; Chordata; Testudines; Trionychidae
Source: RefSeq, a predicted model, not a curated record
UUGGAAGGAAAGCUGUAUAUGUUGUAAUAGGAGAUGGUGUUGAAGAGGAACAGGGGGCAAAAAAGCACAACAUGCCAUUUUGGAGAAUCUCCUGUCAUGCUGACCUGGAGGCUCUCAGGCACGCUCUAGAACUUGAAUACUUGUAGCAGACCCCAACAUCUCAGUGCUGGGCAAGCAUCACUCCGAGAGACAUCAGCUCAACUUAUUCUUUGGUAUUUUAUAUAAUUGAUCUUACAACAACUGCAAUCGUCUUUCUUCAAGGGGAACCUUUAAGAGUCUGCAUCAGGAAAUCAGUGUAUCAAAUCCUUCUUCCAUUGGGUGGAGAGAAAAACCUCCUGAUCACUCAAUGGGGAUCCUUCAGUUUUAUGGCUAAAAUGGAUUUUUAGAGCUGAAACUGGACUCUUGACUGUUUUAUUGCCACGUGAAUGACUUUGAAGCACACAAAAGACUUAAGGUCCUGGUUCUACUUGUCAGUUUUCUUGCUUUGAAAAAGGGAGAAAGGACACAGCAUGGAAUUUUGGGCAUCACUGGACUCUUCAUUACAUCAUGUGGGACUUCCUGAAAAUAAGAGUGAAAUAGUUGGGGGUUUUGUAUUUUUUUUUAAUUUAUGAACUAAUCUCAUUACUCUGGUAUUAAGCGCUGUACCUGUGUUGCUAUCUUCUUUUGGGGGGAGGGUAAGGGGUCCUACAAUUCUAAUUUAAUAGUUCUUUUCUCCACGAGAAACUGUGGACAAUCAUAUUGUGUACAUUAUUAAUGAGAUCUUUGGGAACUGUUGGUAAGAAUUAUAGCUAUGUUUUUUAAACGUGAUUUAGAUGGUAUGUGAACUGUGCAUGUGUCUAAACUGUGCCUUAUGCUGCCAUCUUCUUUUUGGCAGGUGGGGAGAAGUAGCUUGUGAUGAAUGAAAGGCAUUAAAUAAAACUACGUUUACAUUUUUGGGGAGUAGAA